RNAcentral lists this ribosomal RNA (484 nucleotides) under uncultured bacterium. RNAcentral describes it as "partial 16S ribosomal RNA". It matches the Rfam family "Bacterial small subunit ribosomal RNA", at positions 30 to 507 of the family's 1533-position model. The record is from RNAcentral.
AUUGAACGCUGGCGGCAGGCCUAACACAUGCAAGUCGAGCGGAUGAAGGGAGCUUGCUCCUGGAUUCAGCGGCGGACGGGUGAGUAAUGCCUAGGAAUCUGCCUGGUAGUGGGGGAUAACGUCCGGAAACGGGCGCUAAUACCGCAUACGUCCUGAGGGAGAAAGUGUGGGAUCUUCGGACCUUACGCUAUCAGAUGAUCCUAGGUCGGAUUGGCUAGUUGGUGGGGUAAAGGCCUACCAAGGCGACGAUCCGUAACUGGUCUGAGAGGAUGAUCAGUCACACUGGAACUGAGACACGGUCCAGACUCCUACGGGAGGCAGCAGUGGGGAAUAUUGGACAAUGGGCGAAAGCCUGAUCCAGCCAUGCCGCGUGUGUGAAGAAGGUCUUCGGAUUGUAAAGCACUUUAAGUUGGGAGGAAGGGCAGUAAGUUAAUACCUUGCUGUUUUGACGUUACCAACAGAAUAAGCACCGGCUAACUUCGUG